GCUAAAUGAUUGAAAUGAAUGAUUAAAUGUUAAAGUACUCACGAGGCCUUGUCCUGUUCAGCAAACAUAAUGACUGUAUGUAUCACUACCCUGUAAGUGACCCUUAACAGAUUAGAUAUGAGAUUUCUAGAUUGCUGCUGAUUGGUCAAGUAGGUGGCAUCUGCCUCAGCCAAUGACAUUCCAGUAAGUCUCAAGUGAAUUGCGGAACCCAGUAAACAUCAAGCACACUGCUUUUGUUCAAUGACAGUGGGGUAAUAACAAUAAUAAUUAUAACAAUAAUAAUAAUAAUAAUAUAUAUUGGUGUCUUUCAUUACCUUCAAAAGUAAAGGGAGAAAGUAAGGAAAAAGAGGAAACUUCACAUUAUAUAGAAAACAUUAAAUGAAAAAAAAAAUUAUGUUCUUCAUCUUUUACUCUGAGUGCUUCAGAGUUUGAGUGCUUUAAGAAAAAAAAGAGUUCAUUGUGGAACGCCUUCAGGAGGAAGCAAGAGAGCUUACGCUUCCUUCGUCACGGCAGUUCGCUGUUGUAACGUCUCAAGGAUAAACCAGCGUUGACGAGAUUAAUAAGAAAACAAACAGAAAUGAAAUGAAGGGGAAAAUAGUCAAAUAUGGAACAAAAGAAAAAAACGAAAAGAAAGCAAAAAGGACACAUUAGAUCAAAAUGUCUACUCGCUAAUUAUAAUGCUUCUCUGAGCGCAAUUUCAUAAAGGUCAUAAAAAAGACAAAAGGAAAAAUAAUAAAUUAUACUGUACAUAACUUACUCAAACUUAAGAUGACCAUCGUUUAUAAUUAAUGUUAAUAAUAUUAUUACACUAGAGGCAGUUUGAACAAAAUGAAAAAUAAAAUACAGUAUUUAAAAAAAAUAACAAACAAACAAAAAAAAACUGCCAUGCAGAGUGAGUUCACCUCCAUCAAUGACAACAGCACAGCCACCUUGCGGGGCCGGUUGAGUGACACCCCAUCCAGCCAAUGGGGAGCUCGAGUGAGGACAGCAGAGUAACAAUGAAUAUGACGUCAAUGAGAAAUGGGCAAAACCCUAAACCAUCAGUGUGAGAGUGGAGAGCAGCAUUAUGACAUCCACACACACACACACACACACACACACACACACACACACACACACACACACACACACACACACACACACACACCUCUAGUCAGCAAUGAUUAUGGUAUGAAAUAUGAUUGAGAGAUGGCCAUUCUAUAGUUAUCACUAUACUUCACAC
This is a long non-coding RNA of Clupea harengus (Atlantic herring), 1222 nucleotides long. The record is from Ensembl. NCBI's taxonomy places the organism in Eukaryota, Metazoa, Chordata, Actinopteri, Clupeiformes, Clupeidae.